Potamilus streckersoni is the source of this 78-nucleotide non-coding RNA. The record is from the annotation of a GenBank genome assembly. Lineage: Eukaryota; Metazoa; Mollusca; Bivalvia; Unionida; Unionidae.
ACCGCUCUCCGGUGGCCGAGUGGUUAGAGCGCCAGCCUCGUAUGCAGGAGGUUGCGGGUUCGAAACCUGUGCGUGGCA